GAUGAAGAACUUAGCGAAAUGCGAUAAGUAGUGUGAAUUGCAGAAUUCAGUGAAUCAUCGAAUCUUUGAACGCACAUUGCGCCCCUUGGUAUUCCAUGGGGCAUGCCUGUUCGAGCGUCAUUUGUACCUUCAAGCUCUGCUUGGUGUUGGGUGUUUGUCUCGCCUCUGCGUGUAGACUCGCCUCAAAACAAUUGGCAGCCGGCGUAUUGAUUUCGGAGCGCAGUACAUCUCGCGCUUUGCACUCAUAACGACGACGUCCAAAAGUACAUUUUUACACUCUUGACCUCGGAUCAGGUAGGGAUACACGCUGAACUUAAGCAUAUCAAUAAGCGGAGGA
This 337-nucleotide unclassified non-coding RNA is filed under the name soil metagenome. RNAcentral's name for it is "partial contains 5.8S ribosomal RNA, internal transcribed spacer 2, and large subunit ribosomal RNA". The stretch from base 1 to 120 matches the Rfam family "5.8S ribosomal RNA", at positions 35 to 154 of the family's 154-position model. The record is from RNAcentral.